GAAGUUAUAGUCAACUAUUGAUAUCUGACCUGCAAUCAGAAGGUACCUACUAAGGUUAACUUUA
This 64-nucleotide transfer RNA is filed under the name Alpheus lobidens. Its description in RNAcentral is "tRNA-Ala". Lineage: Eukaryota; Metazoa; Arthropoda; Malacostraca; Decapoda; Alpheidae. The record is from RNAcentral.